RNAcentral lists this long non-coding RNA (1015 nucleotides) under Fukomys damarensis (Damara mole-rat). RNAcentral's name for it is "lncRNA (ENSFDAG00000024338.1)". The record is from RNAcentral. Lineage: Eukaryota; Metazoa; Chordata; Mammalia; Rodentia; Bathyergidae.
GUUGGUGUGAUGAUUGUUUCUCCCAUUAGAUGUGGCUGUUUUGUGUAACAUCAUGUGCCACCCCUGCCCUGCCCAGUCCCUGUGUGCAUGCAACCCCUCUGAGAUGCAUGCCUUGCCCAGUCCCACAUUAAUCAUUUACGUGUGUAAAUAUCUAAUGACACGUUUUUUGGAAAAUCCCAAUCAAACCCAACCAAACAAAACCACCCUCACAACUCCCCAGAAAGAAAGAAAAAAAGAAUCCAGCAGAGCAGUCAACAGAUACUUUGACCUUAGGGACUGGGCAGAAGGAAGGAUCACCCCCUGAGAAGAUGAAGGGUUUUUUUCCUGAGAGUCUGGGCAGAGCUCGGUCAGUUGAGGAACUUAACUUCCAAUCCGAGGACGAAGAAGACAAAACACCCCUGUUAACAAGCACCUGAGUCAGGGUGAGGCACACGGAUGAAGAUAAAAUAGUAUCAGGUGGGGCCUGAGACGGUGACGUUUGGGUUGAGACCGGAACGGUAAGCAACAUGUGUGGAACCUAUUAACAAUAAAGGUUUUGAUGAAGGCCAGAAAAUGGCGGCACCAUCUGUAGGGAGAAACCUGUCAAAGCUGCCUGCUUAAACGCAAAGGCAGAAGCCCCAUCUAGUGGCCAGAUUCAGAAACUGCGUGGAUUGAGCCCCCCCCCCAAGCAGAAUACUGUAUGCACCGGAGACACAAAAUUCCUUUUAAAACCACCCUGUAAUUAAGAGGCAGUGUGAUGGAUGUUCUCAAGGGGCAAAUAAAUAACUCCCAAAUAUACAAAUAAAAGCCCAAAAUACAUGUAGUCUUCCCUCAGUGUCACAGGGGAUUGAUGUGAGGACUCCCAAAGACACUGAAAUCUACAAAUGCUUAGAUUCUUAAUAUGAGGCAUGAUCAAAAAAUAUGGUGAGUGUUUAACUUUUUUAUUGCUGUAAGAGAUACAUAGCUAUUAAUCUCCCUAAAUUUACAUUUCCACCAGAAGUAUGGAAGGGUUUCUUUUCCCUUUCAUCCUCAGCAG